GUCCUAGCCUCUGGUAGUACAUAUUCUGAAAUUGGCAUGAUACAGCUAAGAUUAGCAUGGCCCUGCUCAAGGAUCACACACAAAUUCAUGAAGUGUACCAUAUUUUU
RNAcentral lists this small nuclear RNA (107 nucleotides) under Erinaceus europaeus (western European hedgehog). The record is from RNAcentral. Lineage: Eukaryota; Metazoa; Chordata; Mammalia; Eulipotyphla; Erinaceidae.